RNAcentral lists this long non-coding RNA (1090 nucleotides) under Medicago truncatula (barrel medic). RNAcentral's name for it is "long non-coding RNA (MTRU_LNC005214)". The record is from RNAcentral. Lineage: Eukaryota; Viridiplantae; Streptophyta; Magnoliopsida; Fabales; Fabaceae.
AAUUUUAAACUAGAUAUGAUGAAAGUCAAACUUUUCAAUGAUCAAACAUUUAUGAUUAACUGAAAGUGCAACAAAUUUAAACUAUCAUUGGAUGUAAAUUAGAUCCUUAAUUAUGAACAACUGACCCAGAGGAAAACCUAUCUCCAGAAGCUACAACAUGGAGCUUCACCCUAAAAAGCACGACAAAUUCAACCACCAUAGCGGAUCACUAUUGCAUCAAAUACAAAGAAGACAAAAUAUAACUACAACAAAGAAGAAAAGUAACUAAAUCGAACUAAUACAACAUUGAAAUUUAGCGAGACAGACAAUGAUCAGGCAAAAAAAGAUGUCUUCUGAUAUAACAGAAAUUAUCGGGGACACAUCUAAAACCACUAUGCUAGAGGUUUUACAUGAGCAAAGGACAUCUAUAAAAACAUUUUGCCUCCAUCGGAAAUUUUCCUUAGGUUGUGUAUAUUCCUAAUGAACAACUAACCCAGAGGAAACAGACUAAUAACAUGUUUGUUUGGUUUCGCAGUGGGUGACUUAUGAAUGCAGAAGCUACAAUAUGGAGUUUUGUCCUAGAAGCAAGAAAAAUUCAGCCACCACAUCAGAUCGGUAGUGGAUAAACUACAAAGAAGAAAAGUAAUUACAAAGAAAAAGACAAUAACUGUAUCAAGCUAAUACAACAUUGAUAAUUUGGCUAUGGUUGGGCAAAAUUGAAAAAAAAAUGCCCUUCUCCAUGAUAACAGAAAUUCGAAGGGGAGGUCUCCCCUCAGCAUAUCCAAAACCGCUAUGCUAGAGGUUUUACAUGAGCAAAGGGCAUAGAUAGAAACAUUUCGCCUCCAAACUGCCGUCUCAUGAAUCAUACAUUCUUCAGUUGCUGCAGUGAUGGGUUAUUCUUGUUCAUUUAGCAACAGAUUCAUUCCUUCAAUCGUUUGCUGGAAACAGAAUGAUGCGUUCUGAAAUUAAAACUAAGAAAACUAAGCACAUACACCCCAACAACUAAAGUUAUACCUGUUGUAAGGAAUACUCACACUCACCCCAACAACUAAAGUUAGUGGUUUCAAAAAUCUUUAGAUUUAACAAAAGGGGAAAACUGAAGAACAAUUUU